RNA transcript from Zingiber officinale, 4327 nucleotides. RefSeq lists it as uncharacterized. Lineage: Eukaryota; Viridiplantae; Streptophyta; Magnoliopsida; Zingiberales; Zingiberaceae. The transcript has 5 exons. The record is from RefSeq and is a predicted model, not a curated record.
UACGCUGAUUCCUACUCUGUACCACGUAAGUAGCUCCUCAAUCCUCAGUAGGGUAGCGCUCUAAGCUUCUCCCUUUUGUCAUCAAUGGCAAUCGGACCCAAGAUCUCUUCUCGGUGCCCUAUCCCCGACUCGCCUACCGCCUACUCCAGCAUCCCUUCCAAGGAGGAUUCGGCCUCGGAGCAGCAAGGAAAAGUUGCUACUAAAUCAGUUGAUGCAAAAGGAAGAAACUCUAAUGGAGGCAUUGCAAAAUCUAUAUGGCCUCCUUUUCUGUGUUGUUAAAGGCGCGCCCGAGACGUUAGGCGCAUGAGGCGCCGGGAAAAAAGCCUUUUCCCACGCGAGGCGGGCGAUGUUCGUCAGGCGCGUGCCUAGGGCGCCUUCGCACCUCAACGGAGGCGCGAUCGUAGGCACGAUCAUGAUCAAUAUCUAGAUUCUUAAAAAAAAAACAUGAAUUAGGGCAUGGGGAGAAUAAAAGAACACAAGAAGGGAAGAAGAGAACGCAAGAAGAAGAAGAAAGGGAUAAAAGAGAACGCAAGAACUAAGACGAAGAAGAAACUUGAACCGUUCGCCGUCGCCGUUGCUGAGUCGUGUCGUUGCCCAGCCCAGGUAACAGGUAGAUGAUUGAGAAGUUGCUUGGAGAGAUACCGGCUGUCAGUCCCACGUCACACUCGACAACAGUUACUUUUUGAUCUUAUUUCUAUUUGGUAUUAUAGUGGUUUUGUGCAUUUUGUUUUUCAAUAAGUCGAUGUGGAUUUUGGGGUCUAGUGUGCCGGAUUGCAGGUAUUUUAUUAGUGUCGUCAUUGGUCUUAUGUUCGUAUGAUUUUGUGUUUUCCGUUGUGCAUGUUUACUUUCAGCCGUGUAGGCUUAUUAAACUGUGUGGUUGUGUUUAUUUUGUUCCAGUCGAGUAGAUUGAUGAUAUAAACUGCGUGGUUGUGUAUAUAUUCCAGCCGUAUGUGGCUAAUGUAUAUUUUGUAUGUAGUAAUACUUCAGAUUGUCACCCGUACAGGGGAAAUGUUGUCGGAUUUUUGUCUGACAGUGACUCCUCUAGGGUGUGACAGUGCAGGAGAGCAAAUGUUGUUAAAGUUGUUACGGAUAAUGCAAGUAACAAUGUACUUGAUGGAAAAUUAUUAGAAGCAAAAAGGCCACACUUGUAUUGGACUCCUUGUGCUGCUCACUGCGUCGACUUGAUCUUAAAAGAUAUUGGGAAAUUGCUUGAUUUUAAAGCAACAUUGAAGAAGACAACGAGUGUAAAUGUUUACAUUUAUGUUCACCCAAGCAUGGUAAAUAUGUUGAGGCAAUUCACAAGACAAAAAGAGCUUUGUCGGGCGGAUGUCACAAGAUUUGCUACUGCUUUUCUCACUUUUGAAAUGAUGCACCUACAAAAGCAAAAUUUAAGAAAAAUGUUCAUUUCAAAGGAUUGGACAGAGUAAAUGGACAAAAGAAGCGGCGGGGAAAAAGGUAACUAAAAUCAUCAUGACACUUAAAUUUUGGAGCAGUGUUGUGCAUAUUUUAAAGAUAUAUGGCCCUUUAGUUCGUGUUCUGAGAUUGGUUGAUGGGAAAAGAAAACCUGCAAUGACUAUAUUUAUGAGGCUAUGGAUAGGGCAAAAGAAAUAAUUAUGAAGGCCUUUAAGGAGAAAGAAGAGAAAUACAAAGAAGUGUUUGAGAUCAUUGAUACGAGAUGAGAAUGCCAACUUCAUCAGCCUUUGCAUGCUGCAGAACAUUAUUUGAAUCCAGAAUAUUUUUACUCAUACACAGAUUCAAAUAUCUAUAGAGAAGUGGAUGGUUUAUUUGAAACUAUAGAGAGAUUGGUUUCAACCGCUGCUGAGCAAGAUAAAAUUACUACCCAACUCUCUAUAUAUCGAAAGGCAGAAGAGCUAUUUGGGAGGAAUGUGGCAAUUAGACACAGAAGAGCAUUAUCUCCAGCAGAAUGGUGAGAAUGCUACGGAGCAAAUACCCCAGAAUUGCAAAAGUUUGCUAUUAAAGUGCUUAGCCUCACUUGUAGUGCUUCCGGCUGUGAACACAAUUGGAGUGUGUUUGAGCAUGUAUGUAAUAAAUAUAAAUAUAUAAUACUAUUAGUAUGUUACUUUUAUAAGUAGAAAAUAUUCUUUGUUAUUUUAUUAUACUUAUUGUGAUUUUUGACAUUUUGUAGAUUCACAUAAAAAAAAGAAGGAAUUGACUAGCUCAACAACACUUAAAUGAUUUGGUGUUUGUGAAAUACAAUUGUGCCUUAAAACUUUGGUAUGAUGCACGUGAUAGGAUUGACCCCAUCUCGUUGGCAGAUAUUGAUGAUAGUAAUGAAUGGUUGAUGGGUAGAAUGGAUGGAGAAAGUGAUAAUGAAGAAGAUGAGUUGGUUUUUGAAGGUGAUGACUUGAUAUGGGAUGUCGUUGCUAGGGCUAGUGGAGCUGAAGAACCUGAAUAUUGUACUAGAGGAAAAAGCAUUGCAUCCCUGGCCUCUUCUUCACAUGCUAGGCCUAAACAAGUCGAGAAGGAAAAUACAUCUUCCUCUAUGAGACACUCAUCUCUAAGACUUAGAGAUGAAGAAGAAGAAGAAGAAAUUGAAUUUGAAGAAGAUGGAGAUAAAGAAGAAGAAUACAAUGAGGAUGAUUUUGAGCUUGAUGAUUAAUUUGACUUAUUGCGCUUGUUUUGAUGAACUUCGUUAGUUUAGAUUAGAAAGUUGAAACUUGAAAGUUUAAAACUUUUAUUAAUUUUAUCAUGAUGUUAUUUUGCUUGUUAUAUUUGAUAUUUGUGUGUAUGGAAUAUUAAUAGUUAUCAUUUUGACAUAUCAUAUGAGUGUGUCAAUAGUUAGUAAUCACCCUCAUGUUCAAGAGGCGCGCCAAUUUAAUAAUCAACCUCAUGUUCAAGAAGCGCGUGCCUCGGGUGCACCUCGCACCUCGGGCUCUAGGAGUCCUUUUGCGCCUCGGUGCGCCUCGUGCCUCUAACAACACUGCUCCUUUUAUAGAUGAACUUGUUCUUAUAAGAUCCAUUAAAUUCGGGAUAAACUUUCCUACUUCAGUCUUACGGAUAAUUCUGUACAGAAAACUAAUUAAAUAAUUCAGAUUUUAUUCGUUGCUUCGGUUCAGUCUGUUUUGGUUCGAUCCGAUUCGAUUCACUUCAUCCACUUGAGGUGCCUCCCAUCAUAGAGCAACACAACAAUCUUCCGGAGGUCAUAUCUUUUGACUCCGAAAUCGGAAUCAAUCUCUGUUAGUGGCUACGCGUACAGAAUUUGAAGAUCUGCAUAUUUAGCUACUUAGAAAAAUAUAUGCACAAACAAUUUAUUUAUGAGUUAGAUCCUGUCUUAUCAAAACCAGGAUCUAGUCAUGGUUUCAACUUAGACUUCCAAAAUGAUCUAAGUUGUACCACCAUCUACAGUCCCACUAGGACUCGUCUUCACUAGAUCACUCUCCUCCAGUUUACUUACCUCACUUACCAUUUACAGUCUCUUGACUUGUCUCUUAACCCACUAGGCGUCGGCCAAUUGUAUGGAAUCGAACAUCCCGACUGGAUUUCAGCCAGCUGUCGGGUCCCGCAAACCCAGCUGGACUUUCUGCCAGAAUCGUACAUUCGGGCUUCAUUUUGGUGUCAAGUCUUCUAGACCCGUCAAUUCUUGCACACUCGGUAAAAAAAUUAGACAAACAUAACAUCUAACUUUAAAUCAUUUGUUAUUUAUCAAAAACUGAGUUUGACCAUUAGUGCUAAUUGCACCAACAAUUAAGACUUUCCUUUGCUAAUGUGUGGUCCUUCUUGAUUCACUUGGACUUUCCUUUGCCUAAUCGCAGUUAGAACUUCCUUUUGUCUAACCUCCAGUAGGACUUUACCCUUAUCUAACCCUCGGAUUAGGACUUUACCUUGCCUAACCUCUAGUUACUUUUUCCUUAUCUAACCUUUGAGUUAGGAUUUUGUCCUUGCCUAACCUCCAAUUUUGACUUUCCCAGUUAAGUAUCCGGUCCUUCAUGACCUACUUGACUUUUCUUUCACACAUUGUCAAUUAUCCGGUCAACCUUGACCUCGUUUCAAAUAUUGUUCAAAUAUUAAAACUCAAGCUCGAAUUUACUCAAGCUUAGUCAAACUGUUCAACUUUAACUCGAGAAUGAUUGCACCAAUAAUCUUCCCAGAAGUUGUUACUUUGUUGGAUGGACUAUUCUAUUUCUUAGUUUGUACGUAUAAGAAAAGACCGUCCUUUUACGAGCACGGACCUUUGCGAAUCCCAAUUAUCCGACAUACUUGACUUUUCUUUCCACAGUCAAAACCCUCCCCCUUGGUUACGAAGUAUUUCUGUGUAAUGUCCUUUCUUACCAGUUGCAAAACUGCUUUACUAGCAUCCUUACAAAAU